This 350-nucleotide long non-coding RNA is filed under the name Ananas comosus (pineapple). Its description in RNAcentral is "long non-coding RNA (ACOM_LNC043157)". Lineage: Eukaryota; Viridiplantae; Streptophyta; Magnoliopsida; Poales; Bromeliaceae. The record is from RNAcentral.
UUUUGAGAGUAGAUGUUGUAUAGGGUGAGGUUUUGGAGAGUUCAUGAUGUAUAUUCAUUUGAGAAAAGAAUGCAAGUUGUAUUAAAUGAUUAAAGUUUAAAAUGUUAUCGAAAGAGGUUAAAUGUUUCAAUGAGGUCUCAAUUAGCUAAGUUUCUCUCUUUUGUAUACUUGUAUGGUUUUACUUGUAUCGCUUGCUCUAGUUGGUUGUAGCACUGUUUGUGCUCUCGUUCAUCGUUGUUUGAUUGUGUAUGUAUUCAAGUUGUAUUCCUGGGGACUUGUUGUACACAAUCUGUUGCUUAGCCUUGGGCGGACAGGGGAAACUCCGUCCGUUCGGCGGUCGCGCUGCCGCG